RNAcentral lists this non-coding RNA (22 nucleotides) under Arabidopsis thaliana (thale cress). The record is from RNAcentral. Lineage: Eukaryota; Viridiplantae; Streptophyta; Magnoliopsida; Brassicales; Brassicaceae.
UCGCCUUCGAGGUGGAUGUGGA